This 378-nucleotide long non-coding RNA is filed under the name Solanum tuberosum (potato). Its description in RNAcentral is "long non-coding RNA (STUB_LNC007786)". The record is from RNAcentral. Lineage: Eukaryota; Viridiplantae; Streptophyta; Magnoliopsida; Solanales; Solanaceae.
UUUUAUCACCUUCCUCUUCGUCUUAAGAGUUCCACUUUUUCCUCUAACGUGAUUUAAUGUCUUGCUUCAGGUCGGACAAUACCCUCGGCAUAUUAUAAGUCUCUUUCUGUUUGUUGUAUCCUUGGUAUAGGCCUUAUUCAUUUUGGAACUUUAUAAAGUCAUGCAUUCUAGCCGUGUUCUAUUCUCUUUUGAGGUUAAUAUUUUCUUGUUGGGAUAAAGUGUGGAGUAGACCAAAGGAGCAAUGAUGUCGCCCAAUGGUGUUCGACAUUUAAGCUUUGUGCGGAGAAAUGUUGUAUGUUUUUUAAGUCAAGAAGUUUGGUUCUUGAUGUAUCAAAGGUUUUUUCCUGCAUGUAAUUAAGAUAUUGGGAAUUAUUGUUU